GACGAACGCUGGCGGCGUGCCUAACACAUGCAAGUCAACUUGACUGAAGGAGCAAUCUGACAGUAGAGUGGCGCAAGGGUGCGUAACGCGUAAGUAACUUGCCCAAAGUAAGGAAUAACGUCGAGAAAUCGGCGCUAAUACCUCAUAAUGCAGCGGAUCCGCAUGGAUAUGUUGUUAAAGGUUUACCGCCUUGGGAUAGGCUUGCGUCUGAUUAGCUAGUUGGUGUGGUAACGGCACACCAAGGCUACGAUCAGUAACUGGUCUGAGAGGAUGAUCAGUCACACUGGAACUGAGACACGGUCCAGACUCCUACGGGAGGCAGCAGUGAGGAAUAUUGGGCAAUGCUCGAAAGAGUGACCCAGCAACGCCGCGUGGAGGAUGAAGGUAUUCUAUAUCGUAAACUCCUGUGAGAGCAGACGAAAGACAGAUUAUUAAUCUGGAUGACUGUAUGCUCAGAGGAAGCCCCGGCUAACUACGUG
RNAcentral lists this ribosomal RNA (479 nucleotides) under uncultured bacterium. RNAcentral describes it as "bacterial SSU rRNA". It matches the Rfam family "Bacterial small subunit ribosomal RNA", at positions 28 to 507 of the family's 1533-position model. The record is from RNAcentral.